This 440-nucleotide ribosomal RNA is filed under the name uncultured bacterium. RNAcentral describes it as "partial 16S ribosomal RNA". It matches the Rfam family "Bacterial small subunit ribosomal RNA", at positions 338 to 795 of the family's 1533-position model. The record is from RNAcentral.
CCUACGGGAGGCAGCAGUGGGGGAUAUUGCACAAUGGGGGAAACCCUGAUGCAGCGACGCCGCGUGUGGGAAGACGGUCCUCUGGAUUGUAAACCACUGUCCCCAGGUCCGAAGAUGACGGUACCUGGGGAGGAACCUCCGGCUAAUUACGUGCCAGCAGCCGCGGUAAUACGUAGGGAGCGAGCGUUGUCCGGAAUUACUGGGUGUAAAGGGAGCGUAGGCGGGACUGCAAGUUGGGUGUAAAAUCUACCGGCUCAACCGGUAGCCGCACUCAAAACUGCAGUUCUUGAGUGAAGUAGAGGCAGGCGGAAUUCCUAGUGUAGCGGUGAAAGGCGUAGAGAUUAGGAGGAACACCAGUGGCGAAGGCGGACUGCUGGGCUUUUACUGACGCUGAGGCUCGAAAGUGUGGGGAGCAAACAGGAGUAGAUACCCGUGUAGUC